UACGUAGGGCGCAGGCGUUAAUCGGAAUUACUGGGCGUAAAGCGUGCGCAGGCGGUUUGCUAAGACAGGUGUGAAAUCCCCGGGCUUAACCUGGGAACUGCGCUUGUUACUGGCAGGCUUGAGUGUGGCAGAGGGGGGUGGAAUUCCACGUGUAGCAGUGAAAUGCGUAGAGAUGUGGAGGAACACCAGUGGCGAAGGCGACUUCCUGGCCUGUUCUUGACGCUGAGGCGCGAAAGCUAGGGGAGCAAACGGG
This 253-nucleotide ribosomal RNA is filed under the name uncultured bacterium. Its description in RNAcentral is "partial 16S ribosomal RNA". It matches the Rfam family "Bacterial small subunit ribosomal RNA", at positions 524 to 776 of the family's 1533-position model. The record is from RNAcentral.